GGGGCUGAUUGGCUUCGACAGGAGUCAUAUUGCUUGGGUUGCAUGCCGGCUGUAUGCCGUAAAACUACGCAAAUAAUAAACGCAAAUAAUUCAAAUUAUGCUCCUGCUUACGCGAAAGUAGCGUGAGUUAACUAACUUUUUGGAGCGGGCUUUAUCAAUAAUUCUAGCGUAUUGGUUAAGCCCUCAUUGCUGCUAGAUGCUUUUGCAAAACGCCUGAUUUGCAAAAAAAGACUUUGGCUGCUUGUAUAUCUUGAUUUGGGGAUUGGGUAGGGUAUACAAAAAGACUUUUCAAUCUCAUCUAAGCAUGUAGACACUCUUGUUGGGUAUGGUUUUUGGACUGGGGUUCGAUUCCCCACAGCUCCACCA
Molecule: transfer-messenger RNA, 366 nt
Filed under: Helicobacteraceae
Lineage: Bacteria; Pseudomonadati; Campylobacterota; Epsilonproteobacteria; Campylobacterales
Also listed under: 1 other name
Description: Helicobacter_J sp002272785 Standard tmRNA
Rfam family: transfer-messenger RNA
About the family: Bacterial tmRNA, also known as 10Sa RNA or SsrA, is named for its dual tRNA and mRNA-like properties. Its role is to liberate the mRNA from a stalled ribosome.
Source: RNAcentral